RNAcentral lists this ribosomal RNA (301 nucleotides) under uncultured bacterium. RNAcentral's name for it is "partial 16S ribosomal RNA". It matches the Rfam family "Bacterial small subunit ribosomal RNA", at positions 509 to 807 of the family's 1533-position model. The record is from RNAcentral.
CAGUAGCCGCGGGAAUACGAAGGGGGCUAGCGUUGCUCGGAAUGACUGGGCGUAAAGGGCGCGUAGGCGGAUGGCACAGUCAGAUGUGAAAUUCCCGGGCUUAACCUGGGGGCUGCAUUUGAUACGUGUUGUCUAGAGUGAGGAAGAGGGUCGUGGAAUUCCCAGUGUAGAGGUGAAAUUCGUAGAUAUUGGGAAGAACACCGGUGGCGAAGGCGGCGACCUGGUCCUUUACUGACGCUGAGGCGCGAAAGCGUGAGGAGCAAACAGGAUUAGAUACCCGCGUAGUCCCUGUCUCUUAUAC